RNAcentral lists this long non-coding RNA (303 nucleotides) under Nicotiana benthamiana. RNAcentral's name for it is "long non-coding RNA (NBEN_LNC021839)". Lineage: Eukaryota; Viridiplantae; Streptophyta; Magnoliopsida; Solanales; Solanaceae. The record is from RNAcentral.
UGAGGCUACGUCUAAGCAGCAUUGAGAUGUGUGGGAAAGUUCCCUCUUUAAUUCAAAGAUUUUGGUCUUAUUAGGGGUACCAUAUCUUUUCUCAGUUUGGGACCAUAUACUCUGUGCAGUAUCGGAAUACUGCACACUAUCAGCAAUCUGAGGAGACAGGGAGGAGGUCAACCAGGAAAUGAUCAUGUUAUUACAUCUAUCCCACAGUCUCUGUUGAGCCACAUUAGUGGUAGGUCGAGGACAUGAACCGUCAACAAAACCGAUUUUGUUUUUAGCAGAUAAAGCAACAAUCAUCUUACGCCU